Molecule: long non-coding RNA, 253 nt
Filed under: Lathyrus oleraceus (garden pea)
Lineage: Eukaryota; Viridiplantae; Streptophyta; Magnoliopsida; Fabales; Fabaceae
Description: Pisum sativum (pea) long non-coding RNA (PSAT_LNC029310)
Source: RNAcentral
GAGGUUCAUGAAUAUGUUAUCACUUUGGUUUUGAUAAUACUUUGAGGUUUAUUAUCAAAUUUGUGUAUAAUGUUUCCAUUAUUGCUCCUAUAUGUAAUAAUUUGAUUCUCAUAAUAAAGUCAUUUUUGAAGAAUUACAACAUGUUUGAUAUUUAAUUGUAUUUCUCUUUUUUUUCCUACUUCAAACGGCUCUUUAAGCUUUCAUAUACUUACCUCUCUCAUAUUUGGCUUGUUCCUGAGAUUCGAUGAUAGAA